GCGCCCGACGGCCUGCGCACGAGCGGGCAGCGCAGGGCCCGCCCCGGGCAGCGGCAGGCGAGGCGGGAGCGGCGCGGGGCUGCCGCGGGAGGAAACAGCAACAUGAAUUCAUAGAUGAUGAGUAGGAUGCCAAAGCCAGAGAUGACAGUGCUCUUGAAGAAAUGCUGGGUAGAACAAAAAGAUGAUCAUGGGAACAGCAAUGGCAGUCAUGUAAAGAUCUUUUUACCCAAGAAGCUGCUGGAGUGUCUGCCGAAAUGUUCAAGCCUCCCGAAGGAGCGGCACCGUUGGAACACUAACGAGGAAAUUGCAGCUUAUUUAAUAACGUUUGAAAAGCAUGAAGAAUGGCUAACAACCUCCCCUAAAACAAGACCACAGAAUGGCUCUAUGAUCCUGUACAAUAGGAAGAAGGUGAAAUACAGGAAAGAUGGAUAUUGCUGGAAGAAAAGGAAAGAUGGGAAAACCACCAGAGAGGAUCACAUGAAGCUGAAAGUCCAAGGAGUGGAGUGCCUGUACGGCUGCUAUGUCCACUCCUCCAUCAUCCCCACGUUUCACAGAAGGUGCUACUGGCUUCUGCAGAACCCAGACAUCGUGUUGGUGCACUACCUGAAUGUCCCUGCCAUCGAGGACUGCGGGAAACCCUGCGGCCCCAUCCUGUGCUCAAUAAACACAGACAAGAAAGAAUGGGCAAAGUGGACAAAAGAGGAACUCAUUGGCCAGCUCAAGCCCAUGUUUCAUGGCAUUAAGUGGACAUGCAGCAAUGGCAACAGCAGUUCAGGGUUCUCGGUGGAGCAGCUCGUGCAGCAGAUCCUCGACAGCCAUCAGACCAAGCCACAGCCUCGGACACACAACUGUCUCUGCACUGGUACCUUGGGGGCAGGAAGCAGUGUGCAUCACAAGUGUAACAGUGCCAAACAUCGCAUCAUAUCACCAAAGGUUGAGCCAAGGACAGGUGGGUACAGCACUCAUUCCGAGGUACAAAACAACGAUGUCUCUGAAGGCAAGAACGAGCACAGUCAUGGCAAGGCCUCCAGCCGAGAGAAGAGGAAUGGUAAAGUGGCAAAACCGGUGCUGCUCCAUCAGAACAGCACCGAAGUUUCUUCCACCAACCAGGUGGAGGUCCCCGACACGACCCAGAAUUCCCCCGUGUCCAUCAGCAGUGGAUUAAACAGCGACCCAGACAUGGCAGACAGCCCGGCCGUCACGGGGGUGUCCAGCAUGGCUGUAGCGUCCGUUAUGGGGAGCUUGUCACAAAGUGCCACCGUCUUUAUGUCAGAAGUCACCAGUGAAGCUGUGUAUACCAUGUCACCCACCUCCGGCCCAAACCAACACCUUCUCUCCUCGGAUGCAGCUGCGCAAGGACUGGUCCUUGCUGUGAGUUCAGAUGGACACAAAUUUGCUUUCCCGGCGACCGGCAGCUCCGAGAGCUUGUCAAUGCUACCCAGUACUGUCUCCGAGGAACUUGUGCUCUCCACAACUUUAGAGGGGAACAGAAAAAUUCCAGAAACCACCAUGAAUUUUGACCCAGACUGUUUUCUUAACAAUCCCAAGCAAGGACAGACUUAUGGUGGAGGAGGUAUGAAAAAUGACAGCAUCAGUACCAACAUAAGGCAGUCACCCACAACAGAACGUAGCUUCAGCUUCAAUACAACCCUCACAAAAGAAAUCAAAACUGAGGACACAUCUUUUGAACAACAGAUGUCCAAAGAAGCAUUUUCUUCUACUUCUGCAUCUAACACUCUCACCCUCACUACUGGUUCAGGUUUGCUUCCAUCUGGAGGAGGCCUGAGCCCAAGUACCACCCUGGAGCAGAUGGACUUCAGUGCCAUUGACUCCAAUAAGGACUAUUCUUCCAGCUUCAAUCAGACCGUCCAGAGCCCUCACGUUCAUCAAACCCCUUCCCCCAGCUUCUUUCUGCAGGAUGCCAGCAAGCCUCUUCCCCUUGAACAAAACACUCACAACAAUUUGAAUGACACAAGUGGCUCCUUUGUGAACACAUUAGGAAUCCCCAGCGUGAAAACAGAAUCCUCGUCCCAAACCACUUCUAACUGUAACGGCACAGUGGAAACCAGAAUAGAGUCCACCUCUUCUCUCCAGCUCAUGCAGUUCCAAGCAAACUUCCAGGCCAUGACUGCAGAAGCUGAAGUUCCCAUGGAGACCUCCCAGCAGGCAGAAGGGAACGAAAAUCUACUUAAAUCAGGGGACCUUCAAGCCUGCAGCACAGAACACUACUUGCAGCCAGAGGCCAAUGGGGGUAUCAGAAAUGGGAACAAUCUCCCUAUUCUCCAAGGAAACAUGGUUCAAGGACUCUAUCCUGUGGCACAUCCCAGCUUAAAUAACUCCUCGAACAUGGAACUUAACUUGGACCACUUUGACAUCUCCUUCAGCAACCAGUUUUCUGAUCUAAUUAAUGAUUUCAUAUCGGUAGAAGGUGGGAGCAAUGCUCUCUACGGACACCAGCUGGUGUCAGGGGACAGUGCCGGACUGUCUCAGCCUGAAGACAGUAACAGAGCAACCUACAACCAGGCUGAAAUGUGCAUUCCUUGCUGCAGUCCUCAGCAGGCCAACAUGCAGCUCAGCAGCACCGAGAGCGGAGCCAGCACCAUGGCAUACAUGCACGUGGCUGAGGUGGUCUCAGCGGCUGCGGCACAAGGCACCCUGGGGCUGCUGCAGCAGAGUGGGCGCUUGUUCAUGGUGACAGAUUAUUCACCAGAGUGGUCUUACCCUGAGGGAGGAGUAAAAGUUCUAAUUACUGGUCCAUGGCAGGAAGCCAGCAAUAAUUACAGCUGUCUGUUUGAUCAGAUCUCAGUGCCUGCAUCUUUAAUUCAGCCAGGGGUACUGCGCUGCUACUGCCCAGCUCAUGACACUGGGCUCGUGACUUUGCAAGUUGCCUUCAACAAUCAGAUCAUCUCCAAUUCUGUGGUGUUUGAAUAUAAAGCCAGAGCCCUGCCAACCCUGCCUUCCUCCCAGCAUGACUGGCUGUCCUUGGAUGAUAACCAGUUCAGGAUGUCAAUAUUGGAGCGACUUGAGCAGAUGGAGAGGAGAAUGGCUGAAAUGACAGGCUCCCAGCAGCACAAGCAAGGGGUCGGAGGUGGGAGCAAUGGGAAUGGAAACGGAGGAACACAGGUGCAGUGCAUUUCUGGGACUGGGACGCUGGGCAACUGCUUUGAGAGCCGCGUGGUGGUGGUGUGUGAGAAGAUGAUGAGCCGCGCUUGCUGGGCGAAGUCCAAACACUUGAUCCAUUCAAAGACCUUCCGAGGAAUGACACUGCUGCACCUGGCUGCUGCCCAGGGCUAUGCCACACUGAUCCAGACCCUCAUCAAAUGGCGCACUAAACAUGCAGACAGCAUCGAUCUGGAGCUUGAAGUUGACCCUUUGAAUGUGGAUCAUUUCUCCUGCACUCCGCUGAUGUGGGCAUGUGCCCUGGGCCACAUGGAUGCAGCUGUCGUGCUGUACAAGUGGGACCGCCGAGCCAUCUCUAUUCCUGACUCCCUUGGGAGGCUGCCACUGGCCAUUGCCCGCUCUCGGGGCCACGUGAAGUUGGCAGAGUGCUUGGAACAGCUACAGAGAGAUGAGCAAACCCAGACUGGGCAAAACUCCAGGGGUCAGUGCCCCUCAAGCACAGACUCCAACACAGAGAACUGGGUGUCCCAGUGGCACAGUGAGCUCGUUGCCCCUCAGGAGCCUCAGAAGGGAGUCACUGUGAUUUCCAGUACAAACACAGAGCUGAGACGACCAAGAUCAGAACCUUCCAGCUACUACAGCAGUGAGAGUCAGAAAGAUUACCCUGCACCCAAAAAGCAUAAGCUGAGCCCUGAAUAUUUUCAAGCCCGGCAAGAGAAGCUGCUUUCCACCGCACUGAGCCUGGAACAGCCAAGCAUCAGGAAGCAGAACUCCAGCUCCAAGCAAUCUGCCACCGAGACAAUCAGCCCCAGUGAAGGGAUAAGGGACUAUGGCCGGGAGCUCACCCAGCACGUACCAGAAGUUCCUGGGUACCGGGGCUCUGGCAGCCACACAGGCAUCAAAUGGAACCCAAAAGACAUUUAUAUUGGUGUGUCUGCAGUGCAGGUGGCAGGGAGCCAGAAGGGCACUACACUGGGGAAGGAAGCUGUAGCCCAUCGGCUACGCCAGCGAGAGCAGAUGAAUGUGCUGAUGAUGGCUGACAGGGAGAUGGUGGAUGCAGAGCUCUUGUCCUAUAGGGACAGCACCGGGGAUGAGGACUGCUUACACCACGUGGACGACUUGCAGGUGAACAUGAUGACACUUGCAGAGCACAUCAUUGAAGCUACGCCUGACAGGAUCAAGCGGGAGAAUUUUGUGCCAAUGGAGUCACCCCUGGUGGAGAGGACAGACAGCGCUGCCAUGAGCACCACGAUGAGCUGGCUGGCCAGUUACCUUGCUGACGUCGAUCACCUGCCCAGCGCUGCGCAGAUAAGAAGUCUGUACAGUGAACCCUUGACCCCUUCUUCGAACACCAGCUUGAGCCCCGCAGGCUCACCAGUCAGUGAAAUAGCUUUUGAGAAACCCAGCCUUCCCUCAGCAGCAGACUGGUCUGAGUUCCUGAGUGCAUCCACCAGCGAGAAGGUAGAAAAUGAGUUUGCACAGUUAACUCUGUCUGAUCAUGAGCAGAGAGAACUCUAUGAAGCUGCCAAACUCGUCCAGACGGUGUUCAGGAAAUACAAGGGUCGUCCUCUCCGGGAACAGCAAGAGGUGGCUGCAGCUGUUAUUCAGCGUUGCUACCGAAAAUACAAACAGCUUACUUGGAUAGCCUUGAAGUAUGCACUUUAUAAAAAGAUGACACAAGCUGCCAUUCUUAUCCAGAGCAAAUUCCGAAGUUACUAUGAGCAGAAGAAAUUCCAGCAGAGCCGCCGAGCCGCGAUGCUGAUCCAGCAGUACUACCGCAGCUACAAGGAGUGCGGGAAGAGGAGGCAGAACCGCCGGGCAGCCAGCAUCGUGCAGCAGAAACUCAGAAGCAGUUUGCUUACCAAGAAGCAAGACCAAGCUGCUCGCAAGAUCAUGCGGUUUUUACGACGCUGCCGCCACAGCCCACUGGUGGACCAUAGGCUGUACAAAAGGAGUGAAAGAAUUGAAAAAGGCCAAGGAACUUGAAGACACGCAGCAGCAUCCCGUAGCAAUGUGACAUUGCUUUUCAGACUGUUUUCAUUUUCUGUUUUUAGCAGAGACAUGCAACAACAAAAAUAACCCACUGCAGUUCUGGAAAUACCAGCUGCAGGAUUUUAACAGUAAUGUUUUGGUCAUUGCAUUUGCACUUUCAUGGACAACUUUUAAUUUGUUCAGCAAGACAUCUUGGAACUCAAUCUUCUGUUGGAUCAUGGGGAAAACAAAAGACACCAGGAGGAAAAAAUCGUGAGUUGCUUCAUUCUCUGAGAAGGAAGAAGCGAUUAAUUAUCCUUUUCAUAUAGGGCUGUAUUAAACAACAUGUGGAACUGUACAAAUAUUAUACCAAAAAUAUCAUUGAGAAAAGGUGGGAAUGCACAAGCAACACAAGAAUGCUGUUCCUGCACCUGUCAGUCAUCUCCAAGACACUGAAGCUUUGGGAGUCUCAGUGGAGGGGCUUAGAUCAGUACAUCCUUAUUGGGUCCAUGCAUCCUCAUUCCCUUCGCACUUCUGUCCUUUUUGUGUUUGAUUCGAAUCUCUACAGCACACUUAAUGCAACUUUUUAAAUCUGCAGGUUUUUAAUACAUCCCGUGGGAAGUGGCAGGAGGGGUUGGUGUGUGAGGUAAACGGGUAAACGCCUGAGGAGCGAGAGAGCAGCUUGAGCAACUUUUAACAAGGGUUUUGGUUGUUUUUUUUUCCCCUUUAUGAUUUGGUAUUUUUUCCCUAGAACCUGCAAACAUACCAAGUGUCAUCGACCUUCUCUCAUGUUCAGCACUUUAUUUUCUAGCCUUACUUUCACAUGUGAUUAUUUUAACCCAAGUUCCUUCCAAUGGUUUCGUGCGACACGUAGCUUUUUAACCUUAACGUCCCUUGUCCGACCCCUUUGUCGUUCUCGCAGAGUCUCGUUCACAUUUUGUUGCCUGGACGUUUUAUACCACCUAAAGAUCAGAGUGGUGCUGCAUUCUGGCCAGUAAAUUUCUUAUUUUGGCUACUUCAUCAGAAUCUGGGCAGUUUUUCUGUAUAUAUAGAAGGUAGAAAUGGAGAAAAAAAAAAAAAAACUCUGAGAAAAAAAAAACUAUUUGAAAGGGAAUAUAUUGAUUAAUUACUAAAUAUUUUAUUCACAAAGGGUCAAUAACUUGGCAAGAUAAAAUUAUUAUUUGUAUAGUUUUGUCUGAAUGAACGGGAAGAGUGUGGAUGUAUUGUUUGUACAUAUUGUAUAUACUUAAACCCAACAACAACAACAACAAAAAAGCAAACAAAAAAACCCAGAGAUAUGUGCAUGAACUCAAGAGACAAAAAAAAAAAAAAAAAAGAAAAACAAACAAAAAGAAAUGAACAAAAGCAAAGCAUUAGUGGCUAUGGUCUGUAAAAUGAAAACAAACAAAACAAAAAAAAAACUUUAUUUCACUAUAAGAAACUUUAUUUUAAAUGUUCUUUAGAAGAACAUUUUUGCUAAAGCAUGACUCAAUGGCAGAAAAAAAAAAAAGAAAAAGAAAAAAAAAAAAGAGCUACUGUAUUUAGACUUUAGGAACAAAGAGGCAAAGCAACAUACUUUAAAACAAAAAAAAAAUUAAAAAGAAGAAGAAAAAAAAAAAGAUUUAAAAAAAAAAAAAAAGGAUAUGUUUACAUUUGAGUUUGGCUACCAGGAGUUAGGUUUGGUUGGAUUUAAUUUAUUUAUUCCUGCUUUCUUUUGUAGUCUUUUCUUUUUUCUUUCUCCCCUCCUCUUUUCCUUUGGGUUGGGUUUUUUUUUUUUCCCCUCCUUCUUUAUAUUUUUUUUCCUCCCUCUUUUUUUUUUUUCCCUUUUUUUUUUUUUUUUUUCCAAUGGUGCCAAGUAAUGUGAAUGCUAAAUCUUGCUUCAGAAAAUUAAGUUAACUUUUGCAAAGCAGAUAAUCAUAAGAGUACGACAAACGUAUUUAGCUUAACACCAUACACUCACUCCAAUAAAGGACACUUAGGAUGAACAUAAAACAGAAAAAAAAAAAUAGAAAAAAAAAUUAAAUAGUACAAAAGUAGGAAAAAUACCUUUCACAUUUUCAUAUCUCCUGCUGGAAGUCAGAAAAUGUAAUCAUCAUAAUAAUAAUGAUAAUAAUAAAAAAUUGCACACAAAAAAAAAUUAUAAAAAAAAAAAGAAGGAAAAAAACCUUUCAUAAAAACAAAACAAAACAAAAACAGAUGCAAACUGAUCUCGUAGGGGUGUCAUGGUAUAUUGCUAUUUCCACAUAGUGAGGAGCCAAAGAAAUCAGAUGUGUUGCUUUUUUUCUCGUGUGAGGAUUGAACUCGUUCCAAACUGUCACCAAGUCUCAAGCGCGGGAGCUGUGCCCUGAUCUCUGCUACGCAGCGGUGCCGAGGGAGAAGCUGCUUGCGGGGCUGUGUAGCGGCAGGGGUUGUGGGCUGAGGUCAGAAGCUGCUCCCUGCCAUGGGUGUUCUGCUCUUGGCAGUCUGAUCUCUACUGCGAAGGGAGAAGCUGCUUGCAAGGCUGUGUAGUGGCAGGGGUUGUGGUACUGUGUAGCGGCAGGGGUUGUGGUCUGAGGUCAGAAGCUGCUCCCUGCCAUGGGUGUUCUGCUCUUGGCACUCUGAUCUCUGCUGCAAAAGGAGAAGCUGCUUGCGGGGCUGUGUAGUGGCAGGGGUUGUGGUCUGAGGUCAGAAGCUGCUCCCUGCCAUGGGUGUUCUGCUCUUGGCACUCUGAUCUCUGCUGCAAAAGGAGAAGCUGCUUGCGGGGCUGUGUAGCGGCAGGGGUUGUGGGCUGAGAUCAGAAGCUGCCCCCCCCAUAGGUGUCCUGCUCUUGGCAGUCUGAUCUCUACUGCGAAGGGAGAAGCUGCUUGCAGGGCUGUGUAGUGGCAGGGGUUGUGGUCUGAGAUCAGAAGCUGCUCCCUCCACACCCAAGGAUGUUCUGCUCGUGACAGUCUGAUCUCCUACACAGCAGUGCGAAUGGAGAAACUGAUUGUGGGGCUGUGUAGUGACAGAGGUUGUGGUACUGUGGAGUGGCAGGGGUUAUGGUCUGAGAUCAGAAACUGCUCCCCCCACCGUGAGUGUUCUGCUUUUGGCAGUCUGAUCUCUACUGUGAAGGGAGAAGCUGCUUGUGGGGCUGUGUAGUGGCAGGGGUUGUGGGCUGAGAUCAGAAGCUGCUCCCCCUACACCCAAAGGUGUUCUGCUUGUGACAGUCUGAUCUCUACUAUGCAGCAGUGCAAAGGGAGAAGCUGCUUGCGGGGCUGUGUAGUGACAGAGGUUGUGGUGCUGUGUGGUGGCAGAGGUUGUGGUCUGAGAUCAGAAACUGCUCCCCCCCACCCCUCCCCGGGGGCGUUCUGCUGGUGACAGUUUAAAAAUUGGGAAGGGACUGGUGUAAAUUUGAGGUCGUUAGUUUUGGAAUAGUUGUUUCUUGCUUGAUCCCGGCCACCAAUUGCAAUGUUGAAAUGCCAGGCUUGUUGUGAAGCCUAAAAAUAUUCACACAUAAGAAGCUUUUAAACUGGUGUCUUUAAAAGAAGAGUAAAACAAAACAAGACAAAACAAAACAAAAAAACAAACAGAUUGUGGCAAAAAAAAAAAAAAAAACAAACUGGGGUCAGUGCUCUUGGUGCCUUUUCUAUAAUUGUACCUGUUUUUAAUUACUUCUUUUCACUGCCAGCAUUGAAUUACAGUAGAUGUGCUAUAGCUCAUUAUCAGAAUUCUCUUGUACAUUUCUGAACUGCUGCUUUAUGACCUGAUUCAAUUAAAAAAAAAAAAAAAAGUUAAAAAAAAAAAAAAGGAAGAAAAAAAAAAAAAGAAAAAAAAAAGGAAAAAAAAAAAAAAGGGAAAAAAAAAGGCAAAUGAGUGGCCUGGCACUCACACCCUGCCUGUGAGCAGCCUUCCUAGUCUUGAUUUGCUCUAUGGAAUUGGGACCCUGACCAUUAAAUUUUUCCCUCGCACAAAAAUAGAACCAGAGACGCCGACGAAAAUCUCCUUUGGAAUGAAUUGGGAAUGCUCUGUAUCCAUACUGGAAGAACUCUGAAAUGUUGCUCCCAUUAACCAAUACCUGACAAUAUAGAAUCGACCUUCUCCUAACAAGAGUAGUGACCUCAGUGGCAAUGUUUUAACUCCCUGUCUUUACAGAAAACGAUUCAGUAAUAUACAGAGCUAUUCAAAUUACUCUUCCAGAUCCAUGGGCCUGGUGGUGUAUCUACUAAUCUAGAUCCUGCUUCAGCCAGACGUCCGAGCCUGUACUUGCUGGUCAAGGUGCAAGCAAUUCCACGGGCGCCACAGAACUGCUUGCACGCUUGAAGCCAAGUACGGCUUCUAAGUGCUUUGUUGUGUAGGACCAUAACCCUUCAGUGUGUCACUGGGGAGCGAGAGAGAAAGAGAGAGAGAGAGAGAGAGAGAGAGAGACUCUCCCCGCAGUGAAGUGAUUCUGCUCACCCUUUUCUUGGUUGUGGAACUUUCACAGAGGAUAAGUUUCAAGUGCAGCUUUCUGGGAAAAUUCCAGUUCCCAAUAGCCAGGAGCCAGAUCUUCUGAGGGUGGAAUCGCUCCUUUGUGAAACACCAUUCGACAGCAGUGAUACUGUGUGAAAGAAAUACAGAAUAUAACAUGAACCCCCUCUCUGGUUGCACGCUUAAUGGCAGUUCCACACGAUAGCUGGUGCCCAAUGGGGGGUCCCCAAGACUUGCAUGUAAAACUAGUAUAGAUGUCUUCUCUUUUGUAAGUUUUAUUUUUGUAACCGUGCAUGUAAAGCAUCACUGAAUCAAUGGAUCUGUUGAAGAACUCAGCUGCUGGAACCAUGCAAAAUGUUUUGAAUUGCCCUUAAAAUAUGGAAAAUGUUUUCUGAAUGCUUUAUAUUCUUUCUGCUGUAAAUUAAAGACAAAGAAAAUUUCCCCAUACAAA
Pogoniulus pusillus (Red-fronted tinkerbird) is the source of this 9967-nucleotide RNA transcript. It is a transcript of the gene named calmodulin binding transcription activator 1, with no coding region annotated. The transcript is spliced from 25 exons. NCBI's taxonomy places the organism in Eukaryota, Metazoa, Chordata, Aves, Piciformes, Lybiidae. The record is from RefSeq and is a predicted model, not a curated record.